This 579-nucleotide ribosomal RNA is filed under the name Saccharomyces cerevisiae (brewer's yeast). RNAcentral describes it as "eukaryotic LSU rRNA". It matches the Rfam family "Eukaryotic large subunit ribosomal RNA", at positions 63 to 657 of the family's 3401-position model. The record is from RNAcentral. Lineage: Eukaryota; Fungi; Ascomycota; Saccharomycetes; Saccharomycetales; Saccharomycetaceae.
ACGCCCGGCGUAUGCCUUAGUAACGGCGAGUGAAGCGGCAAAAGCUCAAAUUUGAAAUCUGGUACCUUCGGUGCCCGAGUUGUAAUUUGGAGAGGGCAACUUUGGGGCCGUUCCUUGUCUAUGUUCCUUGGAACAGGACGUCAUAGAGGGUGAGAAUCCCGUGUGGCGAGGAGUGCGGUUCUUUGUAAAGUGCCUUCGAAGAGUCGAGUUGUUUGGGAAUGCAGCUCUAAGUGGGUGGUAAAUUCCAUCUAAAGCUAAAUAUUGGCGAGAGACCGAUAGCGAACAAGUACAGUGAUGGAAAGAUGAAAAGAACUUUGAAAAGAGAGUGAAAAAGUACGUGAAAUUGUUGAAAGGGAAGGGCAUUUGAUCAGACAUGGUGUUUUGUGCCCUCUGCUCCUUGUGGGUAGGGGAAUCUCGCAUUUCACUGGGCCAGCAUCAGUUUUGGUGGCAGGAUAAAUCCAUAGGAAUGUAGCUUGCCUCGGUAAGUAUUAUAGCCUGUGGGAAUACUGCCAGCUGGGACUGAGGACUGCGACGUAAGUCAAGGAUGCUGGCAUAAUGGUUAUAUGCCGCCCGUCUGAA